Molecule: ribosomal RNA, 749 nt
Filed under: uncultured bacterium
Lineage: Bacteria
Description: bacterial SSU rRNA
Rfam family: Bacterial small subunit ribosomal RNA
Source: RNAcentral
UGCAGUCGAGCGCUGAUUUGAAGGUAGCAAUAUUUUCAAGUCGGAGCGGCGCAGGGUGCGUAACACGUGGGAAUCUGCCUUGAAGUGUGGGAUAACUCGUCGAAAGACGAGCUAAUACCGCAUGUGAUCGUGAGAUCAAAGUUGGGGAUCGUAAGACCUGACGCUUCAAGAUGAGCCCGCGGCCUAUCAGCUAGUUGGUGAGGUAAAAGCUCACCAAGGCUAAGACGGGUAGCUGGUCUGAGAGGACGACCAGCCACACUGGAACUGAGACACGGUCCAGACACCUACGGGUGGCAGCAGUCGAGAAUUUUUCUCAAUGGGCGAAAGCCUGAAGGAGCGACGCCGCGUGGGGGAUGAAUGGCUUCGGCCCGUAAACCCCUGUCAUUUGCGAACAAAUUGACUCACCUAACACGUGUGUCAUUGAUUGUAGCGGAGGAGGAAGGGACGGCUAACUCUGUGCCAGCAGCCGCGGUAAUACAGAGGUCCCAAGCGUUGUUCGGAUUCACUGGGCGUAAAGGGUGCGUAGGCGGUUGGGUAAGUCUGACGUGAAAUCUCCGGGCCUAACCCGGAAACUGCGUUGGAUACUAUCCGGCUAGAGGAAUGGAGGGGAGACUGGAAUACUUGGUGUAGCAGUGAAAUGCGUAGAUAUCAAGUGGAACACCAGUGGCGAAGGCGAGUCUCUGGACAUUUCCUGACGCUGAGGCACGAAAGCCAGGGGAGCAAACGGGAUUAGAUACCCCGGUAGUCCU